GAUGAACGCUGGCGGCGUGCCUAAUACAUGCAAGUCGAGCGAACAGAUAAGGAGCUUGCUCCUUUGACGUUAGCGGCGGACGGGUGAGUAACACGUGGGUAACCUACCUAUAAGACUGGGAUAACUUCGGGAAACCGGAGCUAAUACCGGAUAAUAUUUCGAACCGCAUGGUUCGAUAGUGAAAGAUGGUUUUGCUAUCACUUAUAGAUGGACCCGCGCCGUAUUAGCUAGUUGGUAAGGUAACGGCUUACCAAGGCGACGAUACGUAGCCGACCUGAGAGGGUGAUCGGCCACACUGGAACUGAGACACGGUCCAGACUCCUACGGGAGGCAGCAGUAGGGAAUCUUCCGCAAUGGGCGAGAGCCUGACGGAGCAACGCCGCGUGAGUGAUGAAGGUCUUCGGAUCGUAAAACUCUGUUAUUAGGGAAGAACAUACGUGUAAGUAACUGUGCACGUCUUGACGGUACCUAAUCAGAAAGCCACGGCUAACUACGUG
Molecule: ribosomal RNA, 497 nt
Filed under: uncultured bacterium
Lineage: Bacteria
Description: partial 16S ribosomal RNA
Rfam family: Bacterial small subunit ribosomal RNA
Source: RNAcentral